CAGCCGCCACGGUAAUACGAAGGGUGCAAGCGUUAAUCGGAAUUACUGGGCGUAAAGCGUGCGUAGGCGGUGAGUUAAGUCUGCUGUGAAAUCCCCGGGCUCAACCUGGGAAUGGCAGUGGAUACUGGCUCGCUAGAGUGUGUCAGAGGAUGGUGGAAUUCCCGGUGUAGCGGUGAAAUGCGUAGAGAUCGGGAGGAACAUCAGUGGCGAAGGCGGCCAUCUGGGACAACACUGACGCUGAGGCACGAAAGCGUGGGGAGCAAACAGGAUUAGAUACCCCGGUAGUCCCUGUCUCUUAUAC
Molecule: ribosomal RNA, 301 nt
Filed under: uncultured bacterium
Lineage: Bacteria
Description: partial 16S ribosomal RNA
Rfam family: Bacterial small subunit ribosomal RNA
Source: RNAcentral